This 477-nucleotide ribosomal RNA is filed under the name Gemella morbillorum. Its description in RNAcentral is "bacterial SSU rRNA". It matches the Rfam family "Bacterial small subunit ribosomal RNA", at positions 28 to 485 of the family's 1533-position model. The record is from RNAcentral. Lineage: Bacteria; Bacillati; Bacillota; Bacilli; Caryophanales; Gemellaceae.
GACGAACGCUGGCGGCGUGCCUAAUACAUGCAAGUCGAGCGAAGUUUUUCUGGUGCUUGCACUAGAAAAACUUAGCGGCGAACGGGUGAGUAACACGUAAAGAACCUGCCUCAUAGACUGGGACAACUAUUGGAAACGAUAGCUAAUACCGGAUAACAGUAUUUCUCGCAUGGGAGAUAUUUAAAAGUUGGUUAUGCUAACACUAUGAGAUGGCUUUGCGGUGCAUUAGCUAGUUGGUGGGGUAAAGGCCCACCAAGGCGACGAUGCAUAGCCGACCUGAGAGGGUGAUCGGCCACACUGGGACUGAGACACGGCCCAGACUCCUACGGGAGGCAGCAGUAGGGAAUCUUCCGCAAUGGGCGAAAGCCUGACGGAGCAACGCCGCGUGAGUGAAGAAGGAUUUCGGUUCGUAAAGCUCUGUUGUUAGGGAAGAAUGGAUAUGUAGUAACUAUACAUAUAAGAGACGGUACCUAACCA